This is a non-coding RNA of Plasmodium relictum, 387 nucleotides long. The record is from RefSeq and is a predicted model, not a curated record. NCBI's taxonomy places the organism in Eukaryota, Apicomplexa, Aconoidasida, Haemosporida, Plasmodiidae.
AAAGGAAUGAGUUUAAGCUCAAAAUAUCCUGCAUAUAUACAUACACAAAAUUAAAAAAAUUUUUUUUUUUGUGUAAUUUUUAAAAACAGGAAGGAAGGUCUGAGAUGCUGCAUUUAAAGAGUACAGAAAAUUUGGAAGAGUUUCUCUUCAUUUUUUCUUUCUUUAAAAAUACUUUUGAGAAAAAAAAUAUUGAAAAAAUAUUAAUUAGCUAACAGAAAAAACAAUCAUAUUUUCCUUACGGAAAAUAUGGUUUUGAAAAAGCUAAUAAGCAAGUAUACAUAGGUGAGUUCGAUUUUUGAGGUUUUUCUAAAUUAUUCUUAAAUUCAUUUAAGAAAAAUUAGAAAAAUAACUUAAUUCAGACUACUCUUAAAUUCAUUCCUACAUUAA